AUAUCCAGCCCUCCGAGAUAAAACGAAACCUAAAAAUCUGCGUCAGAGUCAGAAUACGAAAAUCUAGGCGACAAGAGGCAGACUGAGCAUUUGAAGGCGAGUUCAUCCGGAACAGCAUCCUAUAACUUCUUACUGUUUUGUACGUGAUUCAUAUUAUCACUGUGGGUAUAAAGUUUCAGGACAGUCUACAAGGAGCAUGGCGCUGGCUUUCUGUGGGAACAUAUGCAAAUGCGUCUGUAUUAUUCUAAGUCUCAUUUAUGGGGUAGCUGGCCUUGUCCUGGGCGGCCUGGGUAUAUGGCUGAGGCUGAGUUCAAUGACACGUGGACUGUUUGAUGUCAAUCUAGACACUAAGCAAUUUAUAAUUGUUGUAAUCCUGCUGAUUGCAGUUGGACUGAUGCUGUUGUGCUUCGCAGUUUCCUCAUUAUGUGGUGCAUGCACUGAAUCUACUGAAAGCAUCAAUGUUGCAGGAUUAUUUUUGGGAUUACUCUUGGGAGGAGUAAUUGCAGGUGGAACUCUUGCUUUCAUUUUUAAAAAUACGGUUGCUCAAAAUCUUGGAGAAUUUUACACAGUGGUUUAUUUAAAAUAUUUGAACACCAGAGACGCCAGUCUGGCUAUCACUCUCAACUUAUUCCACAAUCUGUUUGAUUGCUGUGGAAUUGCCGGGGGUGUUUUGGAACCUUUUGUCAGUGAAACGUGUCCAGAAAAAGGACUGUGGGGCAAAAUUACCACAAUGGCCUGUCCUUCUAUCAUACUGGACAUGUUUAACUCUUCUGGAGGAGCCAUACUUGGUAUCUUCAUAGCAGUGGCUGUAUUCAUGGUGAUGACAGGUAUCUUCAAUGGCAUACUACACACGGAAAUUAAAAAAGACAAGAAUCAAGUAUCCCAAGAGGCCUUGCCACUGCAUAUGCACAUGUACAAAUUUUAAAGACUGCCAUUUCAUACUUCUUUUUUGUCCUCAACCUACAUCUGAUUAUAUUGCACUCUCUCUUCUCUUCUGAGAAGUUGUAGUGAUGUACCAGUAUUGACAUCUGAGGACAGGCUUUUUGUGCUGUACAGGCAACAGUCCUUGAUUUGUUCUGUUUAGCUCGAUGCCAAAAUCUAUGCAUAGUUUUAUUAGAAAAGGGAUGUUUGCAGCUUUCUUUUAGACCAUUUAUCUUUCAUUCAAGCCACUUCCUUCUCUUUAGAAUUUCAGCACAUCAGACUUUGUGAAACCAUGUAGAUAUUACAUAGGACAUCUUUAACAAGGUAAUCAACAAACAUUCCACAUCAACAGCAUCAAAACCUUCUAAAAAAGGAGCACAUUGACUCCAUCUGAAAACUGAUCUUUCUGUCCAUUAGAGUGCCUUGUUGUGGGCAGCUGUCACUGAGAGUUCCUCAGAGUUUUGUAGAUCAACAUGUGUUUAUGUGGUUGUCAAACAUUUUAUUUAAGGUUUUCUUAAUGUAUGGAUUCUUUUACAUUUAUUGAUUUAUUUGUAAAUCUAUCAUAAUAGGUAUUAUAAAGAGUGCAAACAGAGCAAAAA
RNA transcript from Erpetoichthys calabaricus (reedfish), 1520 nucleotides. It is a transcript of the gene named CD9 antigen-like, with no coding region annotated. The transcript has 9 exons. NCBI's taxonomy places the organism in Eukaryota, Metazoa, Chordata, Cladistia, Polypteriformes, Polypteridae. The record is from RefSeq and is a predicted model, not a curated record.